Molecule: small nuclear RNA, 184 nt
Filed under: Salmo salar (Atlantic salmon)
Lineage: Eukaryota; Metazoa; Chordata; Actinopteri; Salmoniformes; Salmonidae
Description: U2 spliceosomal RNA (ENSSSAG00000107910.1)
Rfam family: U2 spliceosomal RNA
About the family: U2 is a small nuclear RNA (snRNA) component of the spliceosome (involved in pre-mRNA splicing). Complementary binding between U2 snRNA (in an area lying towards the 5' end but 3' to hairpin I) and the branchpoint sequence (BPS) of the intron results the bulging out of an unpaired adenosine, on the BPS, which initiates a nucleophilic attack at the intronic 5' splice site, thus starting the first of two transesterification reactions that mediate splicing.
Source: RNAcentral
AUGGUUUGGUUAAAUAAAAAAUAAAUAAAAAUCUGUUCUUAUCAGUUUAAUAUCUGAUACGUCCCCCAUCGGGGGACUACAUAUUAAAUGGAUUUUUCGAACAGGGAGUCGGAAAUGGGGCUUGCUCCGUCCGCUCCACGCAUCGACCCGGUAUUGCAGUACCUCCGGGAACGGUGCAACACUU